GGCAGUGUGGCCGAGUGGUUAUGGCGCUGCGUUCAGGUGUACCUGAAUUACAACUUCGCAGUGGAGCAAUCCGCGUGGGUUCGAGUCCCACCGCUGUCA
Molecule: non-coding RNA, 99 nt
Organism: Daldinia decipiens
Lineage: Eukaryota; Fungi; Ascomycota; Sordariomycetes; Xylariales; Hypoxylaceae
Source: the annotation of a RefSeq genome assembly